Molecule: ribosomal RNA, 862 nt
Filed under: uncultured bacterium
Lineage: Bacteria
Description: bacterial SSU rRNA
Rfam family: Bacterial small subunit ribosomal RNA
Source: RNAcentral
AAGAUAAUGACAGUAGCGGAAGAAGAAGCUCCGGCUAAAUUCGUGCCAGCAGCCGCGGUAAUACGAAUGGAGCGAGCGUUGUUCGGAAUCACUGGGCGUAAAGCGUACGCAGGCGGUCAUGAAAGUUAGGAGUGAAAGCCCCGGGCUUAACCCGGGAAUUGCUCUUAAAACUCCAUGACUGGAGUACUGGAGAGGUUGGCGGAAUUCCAAGUGUAGCAGUGAAAUGCGUAGAUAUUUGGAGGAACACCGAUGGCGUAGGCAGCCAACUGGACAGUUACUGACGCUCAUGUACGAAAGCGUGGGGAUCAAACAGGAUUAGAUACCCUGGUAGUCCACGCCCUAAACGAUGUGUGCUAGUUGUCAGACCCUUAGGGUUUGGUGACGCAGCUAACGCUUUAAGCACACCGCCUGGGGAGUACGGUCGCAAGAUUAAAACUCAAAGGAAUUGACGGGGACCCGCACAAGCGGUGGAGCAUGUUCUUUAAUUCGAAGCAACGCGAAGAACCUUACCUACACUUGACAUACCUCUUGGGACUUUCAGAGAUGAUUGUUUUCGGUUCGGCCGGGGAGAGUACAGGUGCUGCAUGGCUGUCGUCAGCUCGUGUCGUGAGAUGUUGGGUUAAGUCCCGCAACGAGCGCAACCCUUAUCGUAUGUUGCCAGCAUUUAGUUGGGCACUCAUGCGAGACUGCCGGUGAUAAGCCGGAGGAAGGCGGGGACGACGUCAAGUCAUCAUGGCCCUUACGUGUAGGGCUAGAAACGUGCUACAAUGGCGGUGGCAAUGGGCAGCGAGGUCGUGAGGCCAAGCUAAUCCCUAAAAGCCGUCUCAGUUCAGAUUGUAGUCUGCAACUCGACUACAUGAAG